This is a non-coding RNA of Schistosoma haematobium, 45 nucleotides long. Lineage: Eukaryota; Metazoa; Platyhelminthes; Trematoda; Strigeidida; Schistosomatidae. The record is from Rfam.
AUUCAGCUAAAGAGUCCCGAAUAAGACGAAACCUAUGUCCUGAAU